RNAcentral lists this ribosomal RNA (119 nucleotides) under Heterocephalus glaber (naked mole-rat). Lineage: Eukaryota; Metazoa; Chordata; Mammalia; Rodentia; Bathyergidae. The record is from RNAcentral.
GUCUGUGACCAUCACCCUGAACACGCCCGGUCUCGGCCGAUCUCAGAAGCUAAGCAGGCUCGGGCCUGGCUAGUACUUGGAUGGGAGGAACCCCUCCUGGCUCCUGGUACUGGCGAGCA